ACGGAAGGCAGCAGUGGGGAAUAUUGGACAAUGGGGGAAACCCUGAUCCAGCGACGCCGCGUGAGUGAAGAAGUAUUUCGGUAUGUAAAGCUCUUAAGCAGGGAAGAAAAUGACGGUACCUGCAGAAUAAGCCCCGGCUAACUACGUGCCAGCAGCCGCGGUAAUACGUAGGGGGCAAGCGUUAUCCGGAUUUACUGGGUGUAAAGGGAGCGUAGACGGCAUAGCAAGUCUGAAGUGAAAUCCCGCGGCUCAACUGCGGGACUGCUUUGGAAACUGUCAUGCUAGAGUGUCGGAGAGGUGAGUGGAAUCCCCAGUGUAGCGGUGAAAUGCGUAGAUAUUGGGAAGAACACCGGAGGCGAAGGCGGCUCACUGGACGACAACUGACGUUGAGGCUCGAAGGCGUGGAGAGCAAACAGGAUUAGAUACCCUGGUA
This 433-nucleotide ribosomal RNA is filed under the name uncultured Lachnospiraceae bacterium. RNAcentral's name for it is "partial 16S ribosomal RNA". It matches the Rfam family "Bacterial small subunit ribosomal RNA", at positions 341 to 792 of the family's 1533-position model. Lineage: Bacteria; Bacillati; Bacillota; Clostridia; Lachnospirales; Lachnospiraceae. The record is from RNAcentral.